GUCCACGGCCAAGCCACCCUUGAACGUGCCCCGUCUCGUCUGGUCUCAGAAGCUAAGCAGGGUCGGGCCUGGUUAGUGCUUGGAUGGGAGACCACCUCGGAAGACCAGGUGCUAUAGGCA
RNAcentral lists this ribosomal RNA (120 nucleotides) under Pteropus alecto (black flying fox). Lineage: Eukaryota; Metazoa; Chordata; Mammalia; Chiroptera; Pteropodidae. The record is from RNAcentral.